This 708-nucleotide ribosomal RNA is filed under the name Escherichia coli. RNAcentral describes it as "partial 23S ribosomal RNA". It matches the Rfam family "Bacterial large subunit ribosomal RNA", at positions 2091 to 2798 of the family's 2925-position model. Lineage: Bacteria; Pseudomonadati; Pseudomonadota; Gammaproteobacteria; Enterobacterales; Enterobacteriaceae. The record is from RNAcentral.
CCGUGAACCUUUACUAUAGCUUGACACUGAACAUUGAGCCUUGAUGUGUAGGAUAGGUGGGAGGCUUUGAAGUGUGGACGCCAGUCUGCAUGGAGCCGACCUUGAAAUACCACCCUUUAAUGUUUGAUGUUCUAACGUUGACCCGUAAUCCGGGUUGCGGACAGUGUCUGGUGGGUAGUUUGACUGGGGCGGUCUCCUCCUAAAGAGUAACGGAGGAGCACGAAGGUUGGCUAAUCCUGGUCGGACAUCAGGAGGUUAGUGCAAUGGCAUAAGCCAGCUUGACUGCGAGCGUGACGGCGCGAGCAGGUGCGAAAGCAGGUCAUAGUGAUCCGGUGGUUCUGAAUGGAAGGGCCAUCGCUCAACGGAUAAAAGGUACUCCGGGGAUAACAGGCUGAUACCGCCCAAGAGUUCAUAUCGACGGCGGUGUUUGGCACCUCGAUGUCGGCUCAUCACAUCCUGGGGCUGAAGUAGGUCCCAAGGGUAUGGCUGUUCGCCAUUUAAAGUGGUACGCGAGCUGGGUUUAGAACGUCGUGAGACAGUUCGGUCCCUAUCUGCCGUGGGCGCUGGAGAACUGAGGGGGGCUGCUCCUAGUACGAGAGGACCGGAGUGGACGCAUCACUGGUGUUCGGGUUGUCAUGCCAAUGGCACUGCCCGGUAGCUAAAUGCGGAAGAGAUAAGUGCUGAAAGCAUCUAAGCACGAAACUUGCC